This 372-nucleotide ribosomal RNA is filed under the name uncultured bacterium. RNAcentral's name for it is "bacterial SSU rRNA". It matches the Rfam family "Bacterial small subunit ribosomal RNA", at positions 28 to 390 of the family's 1533-position model. The record is from RNAcentral.
GAUGAACGCUAGCGGCAGGCUUAAUACAUGCAAGUCGAGGGGCAGCAGGUCCCGCAGCAAUGCGGGAUGCUGGCGACCGGCAAACGGGUGCGGAACACGUACGCAACCUACCCAUAACUGGAGGACAGCCCGGGGAAACCCGGAUUAAUACUCCGUAACAUAUUGAGAAGGCAUCUUCUUACUAUUAUAGUCUUCGGGCGGUUAUGGAUGGGCGUGCGCCUGAUAGGUAGUUGGCGGGGUAACGGCCCACCAAGCCUACGAUCAAUAACUGGUGUGAGAGCACGACCAGUCACACGGGCACUGAGACACGGGCCCGACUCCUACGGGAGGCAGCAGUAAGGAAUAUUGGGCAAUGGACGCAAGUCUGACCCA